AUUGAACGCUGGCGGCAGGCCUAACACAUGCAAGUCGAGCGGAUGAAGGGAGCUUGCUCCUGGAUUCAGCGGCGGACGGGUGAGUAAUGCCUAGGAAUCUGCCUGGUAGUGGGGGAUAACGUCCGGAAACGGGCGCUAAUACCGCAUACGUCCUGAGGGAGAAAGUGGGGGAUCUUCGGACCUCACGCUAUCAGAUGAGCCUAGGUCGGAUUAGCUAGUUGGUGGGGUAAAGGCUACCAAGGCGACGAUCCGUAACUGGUCUGAGAGGAUGAUCAGUCACACUGGAACUGAGACACGGUCCAGACUCCUACGGGAGGCAGCAGUGGGGAAUAUUGGACAAUGGGCGAAAGCCUGAUCCAGCCAUGCCGCGUGUGUGAAGAAGGUCUUCGGAUUGUAAAGCACUUUAAGUUGGGAGGAAGGGCAGUAAGUUAAUACCUUGCUGUUUUGACGUUACCAACAGAAUA
This 464-nucleotide ribosomal RNA is filed under the name Pseudomonas aeruginosa. RNAcentral's name for it is "bacterial SSU rRNA". It matches the Rfam family "Bacterial small subunit ribosomal RNA", at positions 30 to 488 of the family's 1533-position model. The record is from RNAcentral. Lineage: Bacteria; Pseudomonadati; Pseudomonadota; Gammaproteobacteria; Pseudomonadales; Pseudomonadaceae.